UACGUAGGGGGCAAGCGUUGUCCGGAAUCAUUGGGCGUAAAGAGCGUGUAGGCGGCCCGAUAAGUCCGCUGUGAAAGUCCAGGGCUCAACCCUGGGAUGCCGGUGGAUACUGUCGGGCUCGAGUCCGGAAGAGGAGUGUGGAAUUCCGUGGUGUAGCGGUGAAAUGCGCAGAUAUCAGGAAGAACACCCGUGGCGAAGGCGGUUCUCUGGGACGGUACUGACGCUGGAGACGCGAAAGCGUGGGGAGCGAACGGG
RNAcentral lists this ribosomal RNA (255 nucleotides) under uncultured bacterium. RNAcentral describes it as "partial 16S ribosomal RNA". It matches the Rfam family "Bacterial small subunit ribosomal RNA", at positions 524 to 776 of the family's 1533-position model. The record is from RNAcentral.